This is a non-coding RNA of Heterocephalus glaber (naked mole-rat), 433 nucleotides long. Lineage: Eukaryota; Metazoa; Chordata; Mammalia; Rodentia; Bathyergidae. The record is from RefSeq and is a predicted model, not a curated record.
CUGUGCUUUAACUGCUUAUACAGAUCAAUGGCACGCUGUCCCCUACAAAAGAAAAACACGCUUCUAUGUGAAGCAAUAUACUACUAGCUUUGCUUUUUUUUCCUGGAGAAGUAAAAUGUUUGUAGAAGUAUUACCAACAAGACAAAAAACAUGGUAAACAAAACCAGUGGCACUACUUGCAUCUGAGCUACAGGAUAUCAACUACCCCUUCCCACAUUCUCAGGGUUCUUACAGGUAUAAUCAGCUAAAUACAUACUCACAUUGGAGAAGCUAGGACCUUAAUCCAUUAUGACCAUUAUCCUUACGAGAAAAGACACAGAGAUAGAUACACAAGGGUGCAAUGUGACAAUAAGGAAACAGACUAAAGUGCUACAGCUUCAAACCAAGGAACACCAAGGACUGCUGGCAAACCAUGGGUAAAUAAGAAAAAGCA